GAUGAACGCUGGCGGCGUGCCUAAUACAUGCAAGUCGAGCGAACGGACGAGAAGCUUGCUUCUCUGAUGUUAGCGGCGGACGGGUGAGUAACACGUGUAUAACCUACCUAUAAGACUGGUAUAACUUCGGGAAACCGGAGCUAAUACCGGAUAAUAUUUUGAACCGCAUGGUUCAAAAGUGAAAUACGGUCUUGCUGUCACUUAUAGAUGUAUCCGCGCUGCAUUAGCUAGUUGGUAAGGUAACGGCUUACCAAGGCAACGAUGCAUAGCCGACCUGAGAGGGUGAAGGGCCACACUGGAACUGAGACACGGCCCAGACUCCGACGGGAGGCAGAAGUAGGGAAUCUUCCGAAAUGGGCGAAAGACUGAAGGAGCAACGCAGCGUGAGUGAUGAAGGUCUUCGGAUCGUAAAACUCUGUUAUGAGGGAAGAACAUAUGUGUAAGUAACUGUGCACAACUUGACGGUACCUAAUCAGAAAGCCACGGCUAACUACGUG
This 497-nucleotide ribosomal RNA is filed under the name uncultured bacterium. Its description in RNAcentral is "partial 16S ribosomal RNA". It matches the Rfam family "Bacterial small subunit ribosomal RNA", at positions 28 to 507 of the family's 1533-position model. The record is from RNAcentral.